Molecule: transfer RNA, 75 nt
Filed under: Pseudonocardia sp.
Lineage: Bacteria; Bacillati; Actinomycetota; Actinomycetes; Pseudonocardiales; Pseudonocardiaceae
Also listed under: 14 other names
Description: tRNA-Gly
Rfam family: tRNA
About the family: Transfer RNA (tRNA) molecules are approximately 80 nucleotides in length.
Source: RNAcentral
GCGGAAGUGGCUCAGUGGUAGAGCAUCUCCUUGCCAAGGAGAAGGUCGCGGGUUCGAAUCCCGUCUUCCGCUCCA